UGCCUACGGGGCGCAGCAGUGGGGGAUAUUGGACAAUGGGGGAAACCCUGAUCCAGCGAUGCCGCGUGAGGGAAGAAGGUUUUCGGAUUGUAAACCUCUGUGGAGGGGGACGAUAAUGACGGUACCCCUUUAGGAAGCCACGGCUAACUACGUGCCAGCAGCCGCGGUAAUACGUAGGUGGCGAGCGUUGUCCGGAUUUAUUGGGUGUAAAGGGUGCGUAGACGGGAAAUUAAGUUAGUUGUGAAAUCCCUCGGCUUAACUGAGGAACUGCAACUAAAACUGAUUUUCUUGAGUACUGGAGAGGA
This 305-nucleotide ribosomal RNA is filed under the name uncultured bacterium. RNAcentral describes it as "bacterial SSU rRNA". It matches the Rfam family "Bacterial small subunit ribosomal RNA", at positions 335 to 658 of the family's 1533-position model. The record is from RNAcentral.